UGGGGAAUCUUGCGCAAUGGGCGAAAGCCUGACGCAGCGACGCCGCGUGGGGGAUGAAGCUUUUCGGAGUGUAAACCCCUUUCGACCGGGACGAAACGCCCGCAAGGGAAUUGACGGUACCGGUAUAAGAAGCCCCGGCUAACUACGUGCCAGCAGCCGCGGUAAGACGUAGGGGGCCAGCGUUGCUCGGAAUAACUGGGCGUAAAGGGUCCGUAGGCGGUGUGGCAAGUUGGGAGUGAAAUCUCUGGGCUUAACCCAGGGGCUGCUUCCAAAACUGCCGUGCUAGAGUGCGAGAGAGGUGAGUGGAAUUGCAGGUGUAGCGGUGAAAUGCGUAGAUAUCUGCAGGAACACCCGUGGCGAAGGCGGCUCACUGGAUCGCAACUGACGCUGAGGGACGAAAGCUAGGGGAGCAAACAGGAUUAGAUACCCUGGUAGUCCUAGCCCUAAACGAUCAGAACUUGGGGUGCGUCCCGUUGGGGGUGCGUCCCGUAGCUAACGCGUUAAGUUCUGCGCCUGGGGAGUACGGUCGCAAGACUG
This 537-nucleotide ribosomal RNA is filed under the name uncultured bacterium. RNAcentral's name for it is "bacterial SSU rRNA". It matches the Rfam family "Bacterial small subunit ribosomal RNA", at positions 355 to 896 of the family's 1533-position model. The record is from RNAcentral.